AUGCAUAUUUUUGAUUCUGUUGGUAUUGGUGCAAGCAGCGUUGUCCAUAGAGCUAUUUAUGUACCAGUCCAUCGAGUUUUGGCACUCAAGAAAAUUAGCAUUUUUGACAAGGAAAAGAGACAACAGAUUCUUAAUGAGAUCACAACGUUAUCAGCAGCAUCUUGUUAUCCAGGUUUAGUUGAAUUCCAAGGAAUUUUUUACACUCCGGACUCUGGAGAAAUAUACUUUGCUCUUGAGUAUAUGGAUGGUGGUUCAUUAGCAGAUAUUAUCAGGGUCAAGAAAUUCAUAACAGAACCAGUUCUUUCACAUAUGCUACAGAAAGUGUUGCUAGCUCUGCGCUACUUGCAUGAAGUGAGGCGUUUAGUUCACAGAGAUAUAAAGCCAGCAAAUUUGCUUCUAAAUCUAAAGCGUGAUACGAAAAUUACAGACUUUGGUGUAACUUCUGGACUGCAUGAUUCAGUUACCAUGUGUGCUACCUUCCUGGGCAGUGUCACAUAUAUGUCUCCCGAGAGAAUUCGGAACGAAAAUUACUCAUAUGCUGCUGAUAUCUGGAGCCUUGGACUAACAGCAUUGGAGUGUGCAACUGGAAGAUACCCAUAUGAUGUAAAUGGGGGCGAGGCCGACCUCAUGCUGCAGAUAUUGGAAGAUCCAUCGCCAACACCACCACAACAUAUGCAUUCAGAAGAGUUUUGCUCGUUCAUUGAUGCUUGCUUGCAGAAAGAUGCUGAUGCAAGACCAACAUGUAAUGAGCUUUUGUCUCAUUCCUUCAUCAAGAAAUACGAGGGACCUGGUGUGGACUUGGCAGAGUACAACAAAAGUGUUCAUGAUCCAGCGGAAAGAUUAUCGCAGAUAGCACAUAUGCUUGCUGUACAUUACUACCUGAUCUUUGGUGUCACAUGA
This 900-nucleotide ribosomal RNA is filed under the name Triticum aestivum (bread wheat). Its description in RNAcentral is "partial small subunit ribosomal RNA". The record is from RNAcentral. Lineage: Eukaryota; Viridiplantae; Streptophyta; Magnoliopsida; Poales; Poaceae.